AUCCAACUGACGAGUCUCAAAUAGGACGAAAUACGCAUCUUGGAU
RNAcentral lists this non-coding RNA (45 nucleotides) under Schistosoma haematobium. The record is from RNAcentral. Lineage: Eukaryota; Metazoa; Platyhelminthes; Trematoda; Strigeidida; Schistosomatidae.